GGAACACGAAGUGGGGAUCUGCACUUGGGGUGGUCAGCACUGCGGAUGCCCAGCAAAGUCACUGCCUGGUCCACAUCCCGGAGGGGUCUCUGCGCCUCAGUCGGCAUCGCAGCUGAUGGUGAAACUUUUGGUGUGGCAGAAGAGUGUCCACAAACUUCGGAAGUUGCUAGAGAAAACUGAAAACUACUAGUUUUGAAAGCCUCACUUCUGCCAAUGGAAGCACAUUCCAGCAUGUCGCCAACGCAAUCCACUUUCCACCACUUUCACAAAAAACGUUACUGCACAAUUAUACUAUCCUACCCUUAUA
RNAcentral lists this long non-coding RNA (307 nucleotides) under Homo sapiens (human). Its description in RNAcentral is "non-protein coding lnc-FAM182B-8:9". Lineage: Eukaryota; Metazoa; Chordata; Mammalia; Primates; Hominidae. The record is from RNAcentral.